UGGGGGAUAUUGCACAAUGGGCGAAAGCCUGAUGCAGCGACGCCGCGUGGGGGAUGAAGGCUUUCGGGUUGUAAACCUCUUUCGCUAUCGAACAAGGCCCGCUUAGGGUGGGUUGAGGGUAGGUGGAGAAGAAGCGCCGGCUAACUACGUGCCAGCAGCCGCGGUAAUACGUAGGGCGCGAGCGUUGUCCGGAAUUAUUGGGCGUAAAGGGCUUGUAGGCGGCUUGUUGCGCCUGCUGUGAAAACGCGGGGCUUAACUUCGCGCGUGCAGUGGGUACGGGCAGGCUUGAGUGUGGUAGGGGUGACUGGAAUUCCAGGUGUAGCGGUGGAAUGCGCAGAUACCUGGAGGAACACCGAUGGCGAAGGCAGGUCACUGGGCCAUUACUGACGCUGAGGAGCGAAAGCAUGGGUAGCGAACAGG
RNAcentral lists this ribosomal RNA (420 nucleotides) under bacterium. RNAcentral describes it as "partial 16S ribosomal RNA". It matches the Rfam family "Bacterial small subunit ribosomal RNA", at positions 355 to 776 of the family's 1533-position model. The record is from RNAcentral.